UACGUAAGCGCGAGAUGCUGAUGUGGAAGGAAAUCGCGUCCUUGAAGGAGUGAUUUCCUUCCACGUCAGCAUCUCGCGCUUACGUGG
Non-coding RNA from Gossypium raimondii (Peruvian cotton), 87 nucleotides. NCBI's taxonomy places the organism in Eukaryota, Viridiplantae, Streptophyta, Magnoliopsida, Malvales, Malvaceae. The record is from Rfam.